AGGGAAUAUUGCGCAAUGGGGGAAACCCUGACGCAGCGACGCCGCGUGAGUGAUGAAGGCCUUCGGGUUGUAAAGCUCUGUUGUACGGGAAAAAGUUCUGAUUGUACCGUACGAGAAAGGAUCGGCUAACUUCGUGCCAGCAGCCGCGGUAAGACGAGGGAUCCUAGCGUUGCUCGGAAUCAUUGGGCGUAAAGCGGGUGUAGGUGGCUUUAUAAGUCAGGUGUGAAAGCCCAGGGCUCAACCCUGGAAGUGCAUUUGAUACUGUAAAGCUUGAGUGUUGGAGAGGUUACUGGAAUUCCUGGUGUAGUGGUGAAAUACGUAGAUAUCAGGAGGAACAUCGGUGGCGAAGGCGGGUAACUGGCCAAACACUGACACUGAGACCCGAAAGCGUGGGGAUCAAAC
This 402-nucleotide ribosomal RNA is filed under the name uncultured bacterium. RNAcentral describes it as "bacterial SSU rRNA". It matches the Rfam family "Bacterial small subunit ribosomal RNA", at positions 356 to 773 of the family's 1533-position model. The record is from RNAcentral.